This 429-nucleotide ribosomal RNA is filed under the name uncultured Lysobacteraceae bacterium. RNAcentral's name for it is "bacterial SSU rRNA". It matches the Rfam family "Bacterial small subunit ribosomal RNA", at positions 355 to 776 of the family's 1533-position model. Lineage: Bacteria; Pseudomonadati; Pseudomonadota; Gammaproteobacteria; Lysobacterales; Lysobacteraceae. The record is from RNAcentral.
UGGGGAAUAUUGGACAAUGGGGGCAACCCUGAUCCAGCAAUGCCGCGUGUGUGAAGAAGGCCUUCGGGUUGUAAAGCACUUUUGUCCGGAACGAAAAGUCCGUGGUUAAUAACCGCGGACGCUGACGGUACCGGGUGAAUAAGCACCGGCUAACUUCGUGCCAGCAGCCGCGGUAAUACGAAGGGUGCAAGCGUUAAUCGGAAUUACUGGGCGUAAAGCGUGCGUAGGUGGUUCGUUAAGUCUGUUGUGAAAGCCCUGGGCUCAACCUGGGAAUGGCGAUGGAUACUGGCGAGCUAGAGUACGGUAGAGGAUGGUGGAAUUCCCGGUGUAGCGGUGAAAUGCGUAGAGAUCGGGAGGAACAUCAGUGGCGAAGGCGGCCAUCUGGACCAGUACUGACGCUGAGGCACGAAAGCGUGGGGAGCAAACAGG